GAAUAAAUGUUCCCCAUGUUCCCAGUUCGAACACCAAAAAUACAUCCCAAGACAAUAAAUGUUUAUCAGAUGUAUACAGUGUAGUCAUUUCUUCCCUAUGUUCGCAGUUGGAACACCAAAAAUACAUGGCAAGCCAAUUGUUCAGUAUACAUACCACAUCAAUUCUAAUGUUGUUGAAAAAUGAUAGGUACGAAUGGGAAAUGCAAAUAGCAAGGCGCCGGAAGAGAAAAGAGUGCCAGAUGUGCUUGUACCCCCUCUUGCUGACCUACAUUCACAAGGGAGCCAAGGUACGUUAGAAUAACAUAAAUGAGUCAGAUGUCAAGGGUGCCCAACAAUCAUUGUAUCUCGCUAAUGUGUUCCAGGCCAUAAUGUUGACGGAAGUUUUGAUGAAUACAACCCAGCAAUAAUUCCCGUAGCUGACAAUGUUGACAAUUAUCAAUUGACUCCAGGUAUUGGAGUCUGUAAAUACCCCUAUCUGUUGUAUCAUAUGGUUUUAACAUGAUCAAUCGUGCCUAACAGACUUGGAAGCACACAAGGAAACAGAUGGAACUGGCAUGCCACGGAUAGAGCAGGACGAGCUUGCAAACCUAACCAAACACCCUCUUUCUGAUAUAACAAUUGCUGAUCAGCCUGGGCAUGUGAGUUUACGUACGUGGGUUCCAUAUUUAAACACACUAUCUACCCUAUUCGGUUAGCAAGAAACUGCCUCAUUCUGUACUGGUUUUGUUUUGUAGACAACCCAUCAAUCUCCAUUGUAGCCCUGAUGUUGCUUCGUUCCCUGAUCCGAGUACUCUCACAGAUAUUUUUGCCUGCGGCCUUGCAGGAAGUUUAUUUGGUAUGAUCUGACACGUGCAUCAUGGACAGUGAUAAACGUCUCUAUGAAUGUACAUGUUGACUAAUUCUCAUCAAGAUUUGUUGUUUAUACAUCGUGCAGACAAUAAUGUGCCUUCAUUCCCGGAUAGGAGUACUCUUGCAUCACUUUAUGCCUCAGGUCACUUUAUGCCUUUCAAAUGUCCAGAUUUGUGCUUAAAGGGAUGCAUGUUCAUGUAUUAGCCUAACCGACAUAUUUUCUUUUGUUCCUGCAGCCAGAGAGUCUACCCACAGUGAUGUGUGUCUUAAUGCCCUUGGUUGUGGUGGUUCAGAGCUUGUGACAUCGUCUACCCCAACAUGUGAUGUAUACCCAAGUCAUUCCAAGACAACAUGUGCUGUUGUGAAUGACCAAGUGAGUUAAAGCGUAAAAGACGACAAAAGGGAGCGGAGAAACGCACGACGGCGAGCAACUUAUUGAAAGAAAAAGGAUGAACAGGUCAAGCUCCAAAAUGAAAAGCUGACUGUUUCUCGACCCCCUCUUGGUGAUAUCACUAAUAUUGAUCAGCCUUCCGGUUCAAUGCCAGGUACGGGUGUUUAAAGUUAUGAGCUUACGGCGGUGACAAACCAAAUUUGGGAAUCAAAUAUUAGAAUAUGCACUUUUAGCUUUGACUUACAAUAAUUGAUUCAAUAUGAAGUUAAAAACUGGAGUUUGAUAUAUGAACGGUCAAGAAAUGUCAUAUAUCGGAAUGCUUAAAAAAACAUCUGCGGUGUUAGAAAGACGUAAAUGGAUUUAAAAAAUUAAAUUAGAUUUACCGGCACUCAAGAAGGUGAAUAAUAUGAUAGAUGGUUCUCGAUUUGUCAGAAAAAGAAACAAAUGUGGAGUAUGAAACAUUAACUAUCACAACGUCAGUAGCAAACGUUGAUAUGAAAUAGAUGUAUAGUACCCAAGAUGGGUAUAUUAUCAAUUGGGCCAAGUUCUCCAUUGGCACUGCAUGUAUUUUUUUCUCUCGUUGCAAUGGCAAAAUAGAAGAAUUUUGCAAAAUAGAAGAAUUUAUGUAAGCGGACUUGCCAAUGUUCACCAGAUCAACGCACCUCCCACCACCCCGUACCACUAGUUUUAAACUACAUAUCGACAAAAAACCAGAUCGACGCACCAACGAGGACCCGAUCCACUCCUCGUUUCCCACGUUCGUCCUGGAUCACGAGAACGCCGCCGCCGCUGCCGCCUCACAUACGUCGCCCAUGGCGGAUCACGAACAAUACCGUCGCGGAUCAGCAGGCCGCCGCCUUAGGUACCCACACACCACGAUCCAGUCGCGGAUCAGCAGGCCGCCGCCACCGCCAAGUCAGGUACCCACACACCACGAUCCUGUCGCGGGUCAGCAAGACACCGCCGCCACCGCCUCGGGCAGCCACACGCCACAGAUCUCCGACGACGACGCCUACGGCGGCAAGCAGUGCAGGGCGUCUUCACUGAUCAGUUUUCAACCUUGCUUUCUUAAAGGUACAUACGCUCAUGAUCUCUUAAAGAUCACGCAACGCUACAAAAGACAAUUGUCACCAGAUGGAGCCAUAUGCAAUAGAGCCAUAUAUGAUGGAGCCACCAGAUGGAGCCAUACGAAUAAAUGUUCCCCAUGUUCCCAGUUCGAACACCAAAAAUACAUCCCAAGACAAUAGAUGUUUAUCAGAUGUAUACACUGUAGUCAUUUCUUCCCUAUGUUCGCAGUUGGAACACCAAAAAUAUAUGGCAAGCCAAUUGUUCAGUAUACAUACCACAUCAAUUCUAAUGUUGUUGAAAAAUGAUAGGUACGAAUGGGAAAUGCAAAUAGCAAGGCGUCGGAAGAGAAAAGAGUGUCAGAUGUGCCUGUACCCCCUCUUGCCGACCUACAUUCACAAGGGAGCCAAGGUACGUUAGAAUAACAUAAAUGAGUCAGAUGUCAAGGGUGCCCAACAAUCAUUGUAUCUCGCUAAUGUGUUCCAGGCCAUAAUGUUGAUGGAAGUGUUGAUUAAUACAACCCA
This 2829-nucleotide long non-coding RNA is filed under the name Triticum aestivum (bread wheat). Its description in RNAcentral is "long non-coding RNA (TAES_LNC006498)". Lineage: Eukaryota; Viridiplantae; Streptophyta; Magnoliopsida; Poales; Poaceae. The record is from RNAcentral.